CCUCAUGGUUAUUAUUCUUAAACGGUGUAUGGAGUAUUUCAUACAGUGGAAUAAACUCUCAAGACCUAACCCAGACAUCAUUCCUAUUUUUCUCCCCUUUGUGUCCCCAAAGGUCCUGAUCCCAACUCCAGCCUGGAAGGAGGGUGCAGUCUGCUGUGCAUGAGACCAAGAUGAAAUGCCAUUCCAGGUGACUCCGUGACCCUAUGGGUAAAGAAAGCUUUCCCAGCAGCCUUCCAGGAGACUUCCUGUGUCUUGGUAAGGAUUGGGUCACAUGCCUUUUCCUAAAUUAAUCAUGGAAAGGGAAAUUAUAGUGAUCAAUUAGACCAGCGGUUCUCAACCUUGGCUGCAUUUUGAAAGCUCAGGAAAAUACAGAUACCUGGGUUCCACCCUCAGAAAUUCUUUAGUUGUUUUGGGAUGCAGCCUGGUGCAUGUGAUAUGGUUUGUAUCUGUGUCCCCAUGGUUUGUAUCUGUGUCCCCACCCAAAUCUCAUGUUCAAUUGUAAUCCUCAGAGUUGGAGGUGGAACCUGGUGGAAAGUGAUUGGAUCAUGGGGGUAGAUGCUUCAUGAAUGGUUGGCACCAUCCCUUUGGUGCUGUUCUCAUGAUGGUGAGUUCUCACAAGAUCUGGUUGACUAAAAGUGUGUAGCACCUCCGCCCUCAUGCUCUCUCUUGGUCCUGCUCCUGCCAUGUUAGACGCCUGCUCCCACUUUGCCUUCCACCAUGAGUAAAAGCUCCCUGAGCCUCCCCAGAAGCAGAUGCUGCCAUCC
This 764-nucleotide long non-coding RNA is filed under the name Homo sapiens (human). Its description in RNAcentral is "HSALNT0043827". Lineage: Eukaryota; Metazoa; Chordata; Mammalia; Primates; Hominidae. The record is from RNAcentral.